Molecule: ribosomal RNA, 512 nt
Filed under: uncultured bacterium
Lineage: Bacteria
Description: partial 16S ribosomal RNA
Rfam family: Bacterial small subunit ribosomal RNA
Source: RNAcentral
GAUGAACGCUGGCGGCAUGCCUAAUACAUGCAAGUCGAACGAGAGGAAGGAAAGCUUGCUUUUCUGAAUCUAGUGGCGAACGGGUGGGUAACACGUAGGUAACCUGCCCAUGUGCCCGGGAUAACUUCUGGAAACGGAUGCUAAAGCCGGAUAGGUAGCAGACAAGCAUUAGACUGCUAUUAAAGUGGCUAAGGCCAUGAACAUGGAUGGACCUGCGGUGCAUUAGCUAGUUGGUGAGGUAACAGCCCACCAAGGCGAAGAUGCAUAGCCGGCCUGAGAGGGCGGACGGCCACAUUGGGACUGAGACACGGCCCAAACUCCUACGGGAGGCAGCAGUAGGGAAUUUUCGUCAAUGGGGGGAACCCUGAACGAGCAAUGCCGCGUGAGUGAGGAAGGUCUUCGGAUCGUAAAGCUCUGUUGUAAGAGAAAAACGACAUUCAUAGGGAAUGAUGAGUGAGUGAUGGUAUCUUACCAGAAAGUCACGGCUAACUACGUGCCAGCCGCCGCCGUAA